UCCAGGUUCACUGACACACACCCAUGUUCCCUGACAGCCUCCCAAGGGAAUGCUGCAUCUGUGGCAGCAACACCACGUCUCUGUGCAGGCUCACUACUGCAAAAACAGAAGGGAUGAGGUUCCAUGGAGGUGGUUUACAAGGUGAGAGAGGAUGGCAGAACAAGGUCCCGGGAGCUGUCCCUUAGCAAACUGCUGAAGUUUAGCACCACCACAAGCACAGAACGUACCCCCAGCUCCUCUGUGGCCAGAAAAGCAGGUUUGAGCUUUGUGAGCUUCUCUGCAUCAUUUCACC
RNAcentral lists this long non-coding RNA (292 nucleotides) under Corvus moneduloides (New Caledonian crow). Its description in RNAcentral is "lncRNA (ENSCMUG00000019277.1)". Lineage: Eukaryota; Metazoa; Chordata; Aves; Passeriformes; Corvidae. The record is from RNAcentral.